RNAcentral lists this ribosomal RNA (243 nucleotides) under uncultured Pichia. RNAcentral describes it as "partial 26S ribosomal RNA". It matches the Rfam family "Eukaryotic large subunit ribosomal RNA", at positions 37 to 282 of the family's 3401-position model. The record is from RNAcentral. Lineage: Eukaryota; Fungi; Ascomycota; Saccharomycetes; Saccharomycetales; Saccharomycetaceae.
UGCAUAUCAAUAAGCGCGGAGGAAAAGAAACCAACAGGGAUUGCCUCAGUAGCGGCGAGUGAAGCGGCAAGAGCUCAGAUUUGAAGUCGUGCUUUGCGGCACGAGUUGUAGAUUGCAGGUUGGAGUCUGUGUGGAAGGCGGUGUCCAAGUCCCUUGGAACAGGGCGCCCAGGAGGGUGAGAGCCCCGUGGGAUGCCGGCGGAAGCAGUGAGGCCCUUCUGACGAGUCGAGUUGUUUGGGAAUA